RNAcentral lists this ribosomal RNA (525 nucleotides) under uncultured Staphylococcus sp. RNAcentral describes it as "partial 16S ribosomal RNA". The record is from RNAcentral. Lineage: Bacteria; Bacillati; Bacillota; Bacilli; Caryophanales; Staphylococcaceae.
CACGUAGUUAGCCGCGGCUUUCUGAUUAGGUACCGUCAAGACGUGCACAGUUACUUACACGUUUGUUCUUCCCUAAUAACAGAGUUUUACGAUCCGAAGACCUUCAUCACUCACGCGGCGUUGCUCCGUCAGGCUUUCGCCCAUUGCGGAAGAUUCCCUACUGCUGCCUCCCGUAGGAGUCUGGACCGUGUCUCAGUUCCAGUGUGGCCGAUCACCCUCUCAGGUCGGCUACGUAUCGUUGCCUUGGUAACGCCGUUACCUUACCAACUAGCUAAUACGGCGCAGGUCCAUCUAUAAGUGAUAGCAGAGCCAUCUUUCACUUAUCCGAACCAUGCGGUUACGAAAUUAUUAUCCGGUAUUAGCUUCCCGGUUUCCCGAAGUUCUCCCAGUCUUAUAGGUUACGGUUACCCACGUGUUACUCACCCGUCCGCCGCUAACGUCAAAGGAGCAAGCCUCCUCGUCUUGUCGCUCGACUUGCAUGUAUUAGGCACGCCGCCAGCGUUCAUCCUGACGCCAGGACUCAAA